UACGAAGGGUGCAAACGUUGCUCGGAAUUAUUGGGCGUAAAGCGCACGUAGGCGGCUUGGCAAGUCGGAUGUGAAAUCCCUCGGCUCAACCAAGGAAGUGCAUCCGAAACUGCUGAGCUUGAGUACUUAAGAGGAUCGCGGAAUUCCCGGUGUAGAGGUGAAAUUCGUAGAUAUCUGGAGGAACACCGGUGGCGAAGGCGGCGUCCUGGACCAACACUGACACUGAGGAGCGAAAGCCAGGGGAGCAAACGGG
RNAcentral lists this ribosomal RNA (253 nucleotides) under uncultured bacterium. Its description in RNAcentral is "partial 16S ribosomal RNA". It matches the Rfam family "Bacterial small subunit ribosomal RNA", at positions 524 to 776 of the family's 1533-position model. The record is from RNAcentral.